AGGGCUGUUUAGUUGGAUUGCAUGUAGGAAUACAAAUUAUUCCACACAAAAAAUUAUCAUAAGCCAUAAUGAGCUUUAAAAUGUUUAUUACUCAGACAGUAGUGUGACUAAUUUGUUCCCCAAACACUGCUGCUGCAGGUGGCUGCUGCUGGAGGCGAUGGCUGCUUGAGCUGGCUGAUGUUGGCGAAGGAUGGUGAUGGCAGCUGCUGCUGGUGGCGGCUGCUGAUAACGCUGGCAGCUGGCGCUGGCAGCUGGUGCUGGCUGGUGCUGGCCAUGGCUGCUGGUGGUGUCUGCUGACUGCUGGAAUAAGAGGAGACUGGAGGCUGUGGAGACUGCGGACGGUGUGCUGGGAAUGGAGAGGCCCAGUACAUCCAUAGCAACCAGUAAGGUGUUCGGCAGUGGCCUAGAUUGUAUGACCUUAGGUGAGGAGGUCUGCUGUGUGGAAAUCGCCUUCUUGGUCUGACUCUUGCUGCCAAGGUACCCCUUAUUAUGGCUGUUUGCCUUCCUCUCAGCUCCGAUGCACUUUGAGUGAAUCCUUAACCUCAGCCUGAUAUAUGUUGAAAGGAUUUUUUUUUCAGCUCAUGGCAUGAGGGAAGGUUGCUGUCCAGACUCAUGGCCUCUCUUUCCAGCUGUUCCAAUACGUUGGAGGAUUCCAUAAGGGAAUCACUCGUCUUGGAACGGAAGAGCUGCUCCACGUGCUACAGGAGAGUGAACAGCUCAUCGCAUGGCCGGUGGUAGAGGACACAAGACUCGGUCUUUGUGAGGUCAGGUGGUGAUGGAUCUACCAGCUGCUCCACUCUCACAACCUCAGAAGCACUGCAGUUGCUGUUCUUGUUGUCCAAGAAGUCCGCCAAGUGGUCUGAUGCAUCAUCCAGAUCUUGCUGGACCAGCAGUAUCGUUGUUGUGGCCAUCACAGGUUUCAGUGGAGCCCCCCCCCCCAAAAAAAAAUGGUUACGAUACCUGUUCUUAACGCCUGUUUACACAUUUGUUGUUCUUGUUGACACAUACUGUACGUAUGUUUGUUGAUAUUAUUCAUGCUUGUUCCCAUUUUUUUUGUUCCACACUGUUAAUUUUUAUCUUAUGCCAGGUACCUUUAUUAUUAAUGUUGUCCUUCCUUUCAGCCCUGAUGCACUCUGA
Molecule: long non-coding RNA, 1137 nt
Organism: Fundulus heteroclitus (mummichog)
Lineage: Eukaryota; Metazoa; Chordata; Actinopteri; Cyprinodontiformes; Fundulidae
Exons: 3
Source: RefSeq, a predicted model, not a curated record